GUUUGUCUCUCGUAAAUGACAAUAUCUAUUCUUCAAAUACCUGACGUUUCAUUCAAAAUCCUUUUUUGUGAUUCAUUUAUGUGCAGAUAUGAGGUAAGGCGCCUUGCUCAAGAGGCUUACAGAUAAAAUGGACAACACACGGCCGGAGGACAGUAAUAAACGCACACUUUAACGAAGGGGUCGGAGUAUCCGUUGGAGUCCAUGGCGGCAAGGUGGGCGCAGCGCACCACUCCCACCACCAGGCGGCCCUGCCGGCUGUCGUAGUGCAGAGACACCUGGACGCGGCCCCGCUCUUCGCUGCUCUCUCCGUCCUUGCCCUGCAAACAUAUGAAUACGUUGACAUAUAUUUAUGGAUCAUAUAUGUAUCAACAACCAACCAGAUAAAGUUAAAAAUGUAUAAGGAAAAUAAUGUAUAGAUCAUUAAAAUAUGUAUUUGUAUUUGUA
Molecule: long non-coding RNA, 444 nt
Organism: Gadus morhua (Atlantic cod)
Lineage: Eukaryota; Metazoa; Chordata; Actinopteri; Gadiformes; Gadidae
Exons: 2
Source: RefSeq, a predicted model, not a curated record